CCUCAAAUCAGGUAGGACUACCCGCUGAACUUAAGCAUAUCAAUAAGCGGAGGAAAAGAAACUAACAAGGAUUCCCCUAGUAACUGCGAGUGAAGCGGGAAAAGCUCAAAUUUAAAAUCUGGCGGUCUUUGGCCGUCCGAGUUGUAGUCUGGAGAAGCGUCUUCCGCGUUGGACCGUGUACAAGUCUCUUGGAACAGAGCGUCAUAGAGGGUGAGAAUCCCGUCUUUGACACGGACUACCAAUGCUUUGUGAUGCGCUCUCAAAGAGUCGCGUUGUUUGGGAAUGCAGCGCAAAAUGGGAGGUGAAUUCCUUCUAAAGCUAAAUAUUGGCGAGAGACCGAUAGCGAACAAGUACCGUGAGGGAAAGAUGAAAAGCACUUUGGAAAGAGAGUUAAACAGUACGUGAAAUUGCUAAAAGGGAAACGCUUGAAGUCAGUCGCGUCGUCCGGAACUCAGCUUUGCUUCGGCUUAGUGCACUUUCCGGCUGACGGGCCAGCAUCGAUUUUGACCGCUGGAAAAGGGCUGGAGGAAUGUGGCACCUUCGGGUGUGUUAUAGCCUUCAGUCGCAUACAGCGGUUGGGAUCGAGGAACGCAGCGCGCCUUAUGGCUGGGGUUCGCCCACAUUCGCGCUUAGGAUGCUGGCAUAAU
RNAcentral lists this ribosomal RNA (647 nucleotides) under uncultured Basidiomycota. RNAcentral's name for it is "LSU rRNA". It matches the Rfam family "Eukaryotic large subunit ribosomal RNA", at positions 1 to 635 of the family's 3401-position model. Lineage: Eukaryota; Fungi; Basidiomycota. The record is from RNAcentral.